UGAGAGUUAGUCUAAACAAGACAAUUAAUUUCGACUUAAUAAAUCUGAACUUGGACUUCAGACUCCCAC
This 69-nucleotide transfer RNA is filed under the name Gambelia wislizenii (Longnose leopard lizard). Its description in RNAcentral is "tRNA-Arg". Lineage: Eukaryota; Metazoa; Chordata; Lepidosauria; Squamata; Crotaphytidae. The record is from RNAcentral.